Molecule: long non-coding RNA, 333 nt
Filed under: Elaeis guineensis (African oil palm)
Lineage: Eukaryota; Viridiplantae; Streptophyta; Magnoliopsida; Arecales; Arecaceae
Description: long non-coding RNA (EGUI_LNC004528)
Source: RNAcentral
CUUUCUCUUGAUGUAUACCCACAUUAAAGUUGAUGUGGAAAUAUUCUCAUAGAUCAUUUCUUUUAUCCUCGAAUAAUAGAUGGUUUCUCCCUUCUCCACAUCCUUCUUCUAUAUUAUAAAGUUAGGACCUACUUUCUAGUGAUUUUCUUCUCUUUAUUUUUGAAUAAGUGUGCUCUUUCAUUUAUUUUUCCUCUCUGUCUCCUUUCAUUUUAUUUUUCUUUGGAUGAAGAUGAUAAUACAUUUUUGGCUGCUCUCCCUCCCAAAACUACGUGCCUUGGAAAAUAUUAAUAUGCUCCCUUUUACUGUUUGUUGUUGAACUUCUUCUUUUAUGGU